ACCAUAGAGUACACGCUGCUCGUAGACAGCGCGGGCGGGUAAAGAGCGGCAGUGGCGCGGUGCAUGAUGGGAUAGCUGUGACCUCCGAGCUUCCUGACUGUUAUAACAGAGCCCCUGGUGUUGCUGAAGUAGAAGGACGCUCUUGCGGACUGGAUUCAGGAGCUGUACUUGCGAACUGGUGAACUUGAAUCCGGAAUGAAAGCAGAAGCAACGGGAGACAGGUUAAAAGCAGGCUUGUUUUAAUGCGUGAACCAAUUGUACUUUGUAUUGACACCUUGCUAGAAGGCAGACCAGAGAAGAAAAACGCAGCAGCCAGCGAGAGCAGGAGAUACUCCCUGAAGAAGCACACUAUGUGCGAAACGGCGUAGGGGUAACUCGUUGUCCACAGGUACGGUUCUGGUCUGAAGCAUUUCCCAUCUAUCCUCUUCAUCUACACUAUAUUAAUGCAUGUUACAAAACAAAGUUACAAGACGAUUGACAGUAACUGCAGAACACCCCGGCUUCAGACUGAAAGGAUCACAAAGCUUCAGGCAUUUCAUCUUUAAGACGUCCAACGGGGCAAGUCGGGACACAUUAAGUAUCAGUCAGAUCUUGGUUUAUUUCAGGAAUGUGACUUGGAGCAUUCAUUAAUGUUUUGUUCUUCAGACCAUAAUGGAGAGUAUACAGGCAGUGGGGCAGCAGGAUGUGCUCAGCUAUCCUUUUAAUUGUUUGUGACUACAUAUAUGCUCAUAGAGCAAGCAAAGCACGUUUGUCAAAACCACCAACCAAAUUUAUUGUUAUUAUUUAAGCGCUUUUCCAGUGAUCCAUAUGCACAGGUAAUUUCAAUACAGGGCAUAGGGAAACUUGAAUUGCUGCAGCCCUUUACUUUCUCCCUGCCGAUGUUAGGUGCAGGAGAUAAAGAGUAUUAUGAUAACCUAAAGAGGAUUGUCCCGGCAGGGAGAAUUUUUGCACAUGCUGCUGGCACUCAAGGGAAAAUAAACAGUUAUACUUACCUGGUUUCCUGAGCACCCGCUCUCUGCCAUAAUCCCCUUAAUUCUUUACUAGUUCUCCCAACAUUCUA
Hyla sarda is the source of this 1060-nucleotide long non-coding RNA. RefSeq lists it as uncharacterized. The transcript is spliced from 5 exons. Lineage: Eukaryota; Metazoa; Chordata; Amphibia; Anura; Hylidae. The record is from RefSeq and is a predicted model, not a curated record.